AUGACGUGAGUUGUCCCUUUGUAAUAAUAGUUUACACCUGUGAAUUUAGGAAAAUUCGGCUUUCAAUAACAUUUUCUUAUUACAUUUGAAUUUAGUUUUAAUGUUCACUCAGUAAUUGGAAGGAUUUACUACGAUUUAUCCCAAUUCAUGGUGCAGCACUACAAGCAGGGCUUGGAAGCAUAAAGAAAAUUGAAUACUGUAUUUCACAAUAGUUGCGAAGAACAAAUUAUGUUUUUUUUUGUAUUUUCUUAAACCUUUAUUUUUUGUUUGGUUUUUUAGAGAUAUACAUGUUUUGUUUUAUAUUUUUUUAUAAUCAAUAUAUAUUAGGUUUUUAUAAA
Anthonomus grandis grandis is the source of this 338-nucleotide long non-coding RNA. RefSeq lists it as uncharacterized. Lineage: Eukaryota; Metazoa; Arthropoda; Insecta; Coleoptera; Curculionidae. The record is from RefSeq and is a predicted model, not a curated record. The transcript is spliced from 2 exons.